UUCCUACGGGAGGCAGCAGUGAGGAAUAUUGGUCAAUGGGCGGGAGCCUGAACCAGCCAAGUCGCGCGAGGGAAGACUGCCCUAUGGGUCGUAAACCUCUUUUGUCAGGGAGCAACGCCGGCUACGUGUAGCCGGACUGAGAGUACCUGAAGAAAAAGCAUCGGCUAACUCCGUGCCAGCAGCCGCGGUAAUACGGAGGAUGCGAGCGUUAUCCGGAUUUAUUGGGUUUAAAGGGUGCGUAGGCGGAAUGCCAAGUCAGCGGUAAAAUCGCGGGGCUCAACCUCGCUCCGCCGUUGAGACUGGCG
This 305-nucleotide ribosomal RNA is filed under the name uncultured bacterium. RNAcentral describes it as "bacterial SSU rRNA". It matches the Rfam family "Bacterial small subunit ribosomal RNA", at positions 336 to 638 of the family's 1533-position model. The record is from RNAcentral.